GAUGAACGCUGGCGGCGUGCCUAAUACAUGUAAGUCGAGCGAACGGACGAGAAGCUUGCUUCUCUGAUGUUAGCGGCGGACGGGUGAGUAACACGUGGAUAACCUACCUAUAAGACUGGGAUAACUUCGGGAAACCGUAGCUAAUACCGGAUAAUAUUUUGAACCGCAUGGUUCAAAAGUGAAGGACGGUCUUGCUGUCACUUAUAGAUGGAUCCGCGCUGCAUUAGCUAGUUGGUAAGGUAACGGCUUACCAAGGCAACGAUGCAUAGCCGACCUGAGAGGGUGAUCGGCCACACUGGAACUGAGACACGGUCCAGACUCCUACGGGAGGCAGCAGUAGGGAAUCUUCCGCAAUGGGCGAAAGCCUGACGGAGCAACGCCGCGUGAGUGAUGAAGGUCUUCGGAUCGUAAAACUCUGUUAUUAGGGAAGAACAUAUGUGUAAGUAACUGUGCACAUCUUGACGGUACCUAAUCAGAAAGCCACGGCUAACUACGUG
This 497-nucleotide ribosomal RNA is filed under the name uncultured bacterium. RNAcentral describes it as "partial 16S ribosomal RNA". It matches the Rfam family "Bacterial small subunit ribosomal RNA", at positions 28 to 507 of the family's 1533-position model. The record is from RNAcentral.